GAUAAACGCUGGCGGCGCACAUAAGACAUGCAAGUUGAACGGACUUAAUCGAAAUAUUUAUAUUUUGAAGCGGUUAGUGGCGGACUGGUGAGUAACGCGUAAGGAACCUGCCUAUUAGAGGGGAAUAACAGUGAGAAAUCAUUGCUAAUACCGCAUAUGCCAUAGAUAUCACAUGAUAACAGUGGGAAAGGAGCAAUCCGCUAAUAGAUGGCCUUGCGUCUGAUUAGAUAGUUGGUGGGGUAACGGCCUACCAAGUCGACGAUCAGUAGCCGGACUGAGAGGUUGAACGGCCACAUUGGGACUGAGAUACGGCCCAGACUCCUACGGGAGGCAGCAGUCGGGAAUAUUGCGAAAUGGAGGAAACUCUGACGCAGUGACGCCGCGUAUAGGAAGAAGGUUUUCGGAUUGUAAACUAUUGUCGUUAGGGAAGAGAAAGGACAGUACCUAAGGAGGAAGCUCCGGCUAACUACGUG
This 473-nucleotide ribosomal RNA is filed under the name uncultured bacterium. RNAcentral's name for it is "partial 16S ribosomal RNA". It matches the Rfam family "Bacterial small subunit ribosomal RNA", at positions 28 to 507 of the family's 1533-position model. The record is from RNAcentral.